This 3570-nucleotide long non-coding RNA is filed under the name Monomorium pharaonis (pharaoh ant). Its description in RNAcentral is "uncharacterized LOC114254848". Lineage: Eukaryota; Metazoa; Arthropoda; Insecta; Hymenoptera; Formicidae. The record is from RNAcentral.
CGAAAACAAAACGCCGAAUAUGGUUGCUGCUACCACUAAGAUAUUAUAAACUGUCCGUUUAAAUAAAGAUGUCCACGAUUGCGGUCGAAAACAUCCAGAUAUUAUAACUAUUGUAUAGGUCAAUUUCAGAAUAUGCAUUAUAUCAAGACUAAUUUAAUUGUGUAAAAAAAAGAAGAAAACGAAGGUAAAAUAUGUAAGAGAAGUUAGUUAUGCGAUUCAAUUUAUUAACUUUGUUAAUAAUUAUAAAGAUCUUUGAUCAGCAAUACUCAUUGCUUUCAAGAUAAUUUAAACCUAAAGUAUCUUUUUUACGUAUGUGUACGUAUAUGUACAAAAAAUAUGAUGAGAAAAUAUAAUUUCAAAAGCGUAUACUGUAGAAUGUCUAUCGACAUACUAACUUAUGUACUAACGGUACUUCUUAAUAGUAACAUUGAUAAUAUUUAAUUACUGUAUCAAGAUAGAGAACAAAAUAACAUACCAGAAAAAAUUGUCUAUACAGAUUAUUGAAUAAAGUAUAAGAUGUAGACGACAAUAUCUUGAUAUACGUCUCUCACAUUGAUACGCAACAUUUCAUUAUAUUAUUUUUUAUUCUUACGAGAAGAGAGUUCGAGACGUUCUAAUAUUGAUUUCUACGCGCAACAUAUAAUCAGGAGACGAGAUUAUGUUAAAAGUAUGCAUUUAUAAGACUAUAGUCACAUACAAUCUUAAUUGUAUAAAAUAAAAGAUUUAUUAUUUUUAUUGUUAUAUCAGGAUGGAGAAUAAAAUGACGUAUUGUAUUGAAAAGAGUGGGUUUCAGUUGCCUACAUUCCCAGUUGCCUACAGCUUCGUUUGCACACAAAUUUUGCAAAGGUGCCCGAUUGCUUACGUGCCCGAUUGCCUACAUCUCGAUUGCCUACAGCUUCGUUUGCUCACACGAAAAUAAUUAAGGUACAAAAAUACGAUUUCACACAUGAUAUUAUUUCGCUUAUACACAUUGCACACAUUACAUUAUUACAUUUAUACACAUUGCACACAUGAUAUUAUUACGCUUAUACACAUUGCACACAUGAUAUUAUUGCGCUCAUACAUUCUGGAGGCACAAUUCCAAUAACUUGGGCGCCUUAAUUUGACGAUGAUUUCUGAUAAUAUUUUUUAUGUUAAACAAAAAAUUGUAUAGAUCUUAUAGGGCUAACUGUUAGUUUAGUUUUUGAGAUACACCAUUUUAAAAAUAAAAGUAAAAGUAGAUUAAAAAUAAGAAGAAAAGUAGGUAGACCUCGCUUUGCAUGGAAAGUUGCAAACUCAUGUGGAACAGUAUGAAGCGUGGACACUUCUUUGCUGUGACCACACACACACGCACGCACACACACACACACACAUACGGUCCAAGGGGGGGCCUUUGCCCCCUUCUUUCGUGCCCCACCCCGUCGGUAGAGGUGCCCUGGAAAGUUACAAACCCAUAUGGCAUAGUACAAGCGUGGACGUCGUUUCAAUCAGAUUACUGUUUUAGUUAAUGUUAAGAUAAAUUUAUAGAAUUUGAUUGGUGAUGUCCGUUUUACACUGUGCGCAUCUGGGAUUUACUCCCUUGCUCUUGCUUACAGAGUGUAUGAGCGCAAUGAUAUCACGUAUGCAAUGUGCAUAUGCGCAAUAAUGUCAUAAGUGCAAUGUGUAUUGUGCAAUAAUGUCAUGUGUGCAAUGUAUGUAUAUAAACGUAUUAAUAUCAUGUGUGCAAUGUGCAUAUGCGCAAUAAUGUCAUGUGUACAAUGUGUAUGAGCGUAAUAAUAUCAUAUGUGCAAUGUGUAUGAGAAAAAUAAUAUCAUGUGUGCAAUCGUACUUUUGUACAUUAAUUAUUUUCGUGUGUGCAAACGAAGCUGUAGGUAGUCGAGAUGUGGGCAAUCGGGCACGUAGGCAAUCGGGGCACCUCUGAAAAAUUUGUGUGCAAACGAAGCUGUAGGCAACUGGAAAUGUAGGCAAAUGAGACCCCCAGAAAAAAUUCAGAAAAAGUCAGAGUUGAAAGAAGUAAAUAACAAAACAAUAUACCGGACUAUUAAUACGACACGUUUAUUAUGCAAAUACUAUACAGAAAAGAAUCUUGAAUAUAAUGGCGAUUUGUGAGAUAAAAAUAAAAGCAUCGUAGAUUAAAUGAAAGACUGGAGGCGCCAUAACGCUGUUUUUACGUACCAUUGCCAAAUGAUGCGAUAUUCCAAGAUCUCAAUUUGACAACAUAUGUGCAUUAAGAAUCCACACAUAAGAUUAUCUGUUGCAAUGGUUACAACAACACUAUGACAUGCACCUAACAUUUGUUGAAAAUUCACCCACAGAUUCAAUAUUUUGUAGCACGCAGCGAACAUAGUUAAACAUGAUGUAUCCAAUGUCGGUGAAGUCAUCCAGAUUAUCAACGUUCAAGAAAAGGUUGAAUUGCCGGUAGGAAUGUUUUCAAAUGUAAACUUUAUGCGACAAUAAAAUGAAAAAUUGAAAUAUUGAAAUAAAUAAUGAAUGUGUGAGGACUCCGUUGUUCGUUUAUAGACUGCCAUCGAUAAUUUUUUUCCUAUGCAAUUUUAAUGAAGAUAAACAACUAACUCCAAUAUACUGAUGUGAUGACGUAUACAAUCGCAAAGAGUAUCAUAAUUGUUCGAUAUUUUGCUUAGUCGGCAUUCUAAAAUCUCGAUCUGACAGCAAACGUGCACCAACAGUCCGCAAAUCAGACUGUCACAAGCCACAUUGACCAGCGAUCCAAUCGCCAGGCUAAUAAGUUGAUGAGCAUACAUUGAAUGUUUAAAUUACAUGUGCGAAGUAUUUUAUAGAAGAAAGAAUAAACAAGAAAGAAGAAUAUAAUAUAUAGACACAAAACAGAUGUUAAAAGUAGAAUAAUAAGUAAAACAUACAAUAAGAUAAGUGACGCAUUUUGAUAAUUUUUUAAAAUUCUUUUAUAACAAUACAUUAUUACUUAAAAAUAAUAAUUAAAAAAUUACUAAUUAUUUAUACUAAUUGUAAAUGUGUAUUUCUUUUGUUACAUAUGCAUUGCCUCCUGUCUCCCCACUUUGUACAGCAACUUCAUAAAAGAAAAUAAGAUUUAAACAAAACAAAAUUUUAAUUUUUUUCAAAAUUUUUUUUCUAAAAAAAGUAAUUAUAAUAACAUUUUGAUUCGUUAAAGAAAAAAACUGACAUUAGAUUUGGAAAAAAACAGACUUAAAAGCUACAGGAUACCGUCAUUUCAAAAUUAAAAAUUAUUUAUCCAAAAAUUUAAAAUUAAUUGUGACCUACGUGGGCAUAAACGUGUUAAGAUACUAAUAUGGUUCUGUGAUUGGUUGAUGGCAUCUUAAAACAGUACUUGCAAUAAUCUUAAAAAUAAGAUUUUACUGCGAAUACCAAUCUAACUUAUUAUUUCUAUUACUUCAGUAUAACAGUGCAACAAAAAAAAAAGAAACAAAUCUUAUGAUGCAUUGCAUUUCAUGAUCCGAUAGUGCACCGUUUAUUUAUAAAAUACGUCACCGACGAGAUAUAUGUGUGUGAUAUUAAUAUUUAAGUAUAUUUAUCAUAAAAAUAUUUAAAGUAUGAACAUAUUUAUUGUUGUUAUUAAAUGUUAAUUAAAACAAA